UACAACGGAACGUAAUGUACAUCUGGAUUGUUACUAAUAGUAGUAAAUAUCUAACUUUUUCCACAUCCAAUUUUUCUUUACAGGAUCAUUUAAUUCAUAACAAAACGUCAGAAUCAUAUAAACUAUAUAUUCAAAAAGUGACGAUAUUUUUUUUUGUAUUUCACUUUACUGCAGUAUAAAAAUAUUCUUAUAAAAUAUAAUGUUACUUAGAGUCUAACUUAAAAAUAUUUCAUAAUUACUUAAAUACUAAAUAUGUAAAUUAAUAUUUAUUGUUUAUUUUACCAACAAUAGAUAAUCUUAAUUAAUUAUUUAUCAAUGUAUUACACCAAAGUCAAUUUUGAAUACAGUUAUCUUUAAGCUUAAUAAUCUAUUUACUUUCAUGAAUUUUUAACAGCUUACCAACCUUGAAUAUUACAUAAUAAUAAUAAUAUGCGUGGUUAUAUUGACACACUAUCAAAACCUUCUAUAAUAAUAAUUUCAAUAGAAGCUGCACAAACCUUAAGGCGCAUUCAGAUGGUUUUUUGUUUAGUUGUUACUGAUUAGUGAAAGACAUUGACUUGAUAAGUGUAGGUACUUAUAUCAUAACAAAAAUAUGAAAGUUCAUAAAGUCACGAUCGGAGACCACCACUUCAGGAGCUCCUGUACUAUAAUAGUUGCGCUGAGUGGGCGGAUCCACCGCCAUCUCCAAAUUUGGGUAGAAUGGACGUUCACCCAAUCUUCGUCUGGACUGGCAGAGGCCUGAAGUUGAGCCUCCUUUGCUUCCAUGGUUCCAACAGGAGUUUUUAGACAUAUAUAUCUAAGCGCAGACAAAUCAUCAUCUAGUUGAAUACUAGAUACUAUAUCAUUCAUAGUUAUCUGCAUGCAAAAUUUCAGCCUGAUCCGUCCAGUAGUUUUGAGCUGUGCGUUGAUAGAUCAGAGGGCGAUUCCGAACACUUCGAUAACAUAACGAAUCGAUUCGAU
This is a long non-coding RNA of Maniola jurtina (meadow brown), 960 nucleotides long. RefSeq lists it as uncharacterized. The transcript has 3 exons. Lineage: Eukaryota; Metazoa; Arthropoda; Insecta; Lepidoptera; Nymphalidae. The record is from RefSeq and is a predicted model, not a curated record.